GUCAGGAUGGCCGAGCGGUCUAAGGCGCUGCGUUCAGGUCGCAGUCUCCUCUGGAGGUGUGGGUCAAAUCCCACUUCUGACA
Non-coding RNA from Danio rerio (zebrafish), 82 nucleotides. Lineage: Eukaryota; Metazoa; Chordata; Actinopteri; Cypriniformes; Danionidae. The record is from Rfam.